Molecule: ribosomal RNA, 252 nt
Filed under: uncultured bacterium
Lineage: Bacteria
Description: partial 16S ribosomal RNA
Rfam family: Bacterial small subunit ribosomal RNA
Source: RNAcentral
UACGUAGGGGGCAAGCGUUGUCCGGAAUUAUUGGGCGUAAAGCGCGCGCAGGCGGUCAUUUAAGUCUGGUGUUUAAUCCCGGGGCUCAACCCCGGUUCGCAUUGGAAACUGGAUGACUUGAGUGUAAGAGAGGAAAGUGGAAUUCCACGUGUAGCGGUGAAAUGCGUAGAGAUGUGGAGGAACACCAGUGGCGAAGGCGACUUUCUGGCCUGUUCUUGACGCUGAGGCGCGAAAGCUAGGGGAGCAAACGGG